UACGAAGGGGGCUAGCGUUGCUCGGAAUCACUGGGCGUAAAGCGCACGUAGGCGGACUCUUAAGUCGGUGGUGAAAUCCUGGAGCUCAACUCCAGAACUGCCUUCGAUACUGAGAGUCUCGAGUCCGGGAGAGGUGAGUGGAACUGCGAGUGUAGAGGUGAAAUUCGUAGAUAUUCGCAAGAACACCAGUGGCGAAGGCGGCUCACUGGCCCGGUACUGACGCUGAACGACGAAAGCUAGGGGAGCAAACGGG
This 253-nucleotide ribosomal RNA is filed under the name uncultured bacterium. Its description in RNAcentral is "partial 16S ribosomal RNA". It matches the Rfam family "Bacterial small subunit ribosomal RNA", at positions 524 to 776 of the family's 1533-position model. The record is from RNAcentral.